This 407-nucleotide ribosomal RNA is filed under the name uncultured bacterium. RNAcentral describes it as "partial 16S ribosomal RNA". It matches the Rfam family "Bacterial small subunit ribosomal RNA", at positions 338 to 742 of the family's 1533-position model. The record is from RNAcentral.
CCUACGGGAGGCAGCAGUGAGGAAUAUUGGUCAAUGGGCGGAAGCCUGAACCAGCCAAGUAGCGUGCAGGAUGACGGCCCUACGGGUUGUAAACUGCUUUUAUAUGGGAAUAACGUGCCUUACGUGUAGGGCUUUGCAUGUACCGUAUGAAUAAGGAUCGGCUAAAUCCGUGCCAGCAGCCGCGGUAAUACGGAAGAUCCGGGCGUUAUCCGGAUUUAUUGGGUUUAAAGGGAGCGUAGGUCGGAUGUGAAGUCAGCUGUGAAAUUUUCGGGAUCAACCCGGGAAGUGCAUGUGACACUGGCAGUCUUGAGGAGAGGAGAGGUGGGAGGAAGUCGUGGGGAAGCGGUGAAAUGCGGAGAUAUAACGAAGAAGGAAGAGUGAGAAGGAAGCACAAUGGAAUGGAAAUG